AGAGUUUGAUCAUGGCUCAGGAUGAACGCUGGCGGUAUGCUUAACACAUGCAAGUCGAACGAAAUCUUCGGAUUUAGUGGCGGACGGGUGAGUAACGCGUGAGAAUCUACUCUUAGAUUGGGGACAACAGUUGGAAACGACUGCUAAUACCGAAUGUGCCGAAAGGUAAAAGAUUUAUCGUCUGAGAAUGAGCUCGCGUUGGAUUAGCUAGUUGGAGUGGUAAUGGCACACCAAGGCGACGAUCCAUAACUGGUCUGAGAGGAUGACCAGUCACACUGGGACUGAGACACGGCCCAGACUCCUACGGGAGGCAGCAGUGGGGAAUUUUCCGCAAUGGGCGAAAGCCUGACGGAGCAAUACCGCGUGAGGGAGGAAGGCUCUUGGGUCGUAAACCUCUUUUAUUAGGGAAGAAGAUCUGACGGUACCUAA
This 429-nucleotide ribosomal RNA is filed under the name uncultured cyanobacterium. Its description in RNAcentral is "bacterial SSU rRNA". It matches the Rfam family "Bacterial small subunit ribosomal RNA", at positions 8 to 482 of the family's 1533-position model. Lineage: Bacteria; Bacillati; Cyanobacteriota. The record is from RNAcentral.